CCUACGGGAGGCUGCAGUGAGGAAUAUUGGUCAAUGGACGAGAGUCUGAACCAGCCAAGUAGCGUGAAGGAUGACUGCCCUAUGGGUUGUAAACUUCUUUUAUAUGGGAAUAAAAUGUUCCACGUGUGGGAUUUUGUAUGUACCAUAUGAAUAAGGAUCGGCUAACUCCGUGCCAGCAGCCGCGGUAAUACGGAGGAUCCGAGCGUUAUCCGGAUUUAUUGGGUUUAAAGGGAGCGUAGGUGGAUUGUUAAGUCAGUUGUGAAAGUUUGCGGCUCAACCGUAAAAUUGCAGUUGAAACUGGCAGUCUUGAGUACAGUAGAGGUGGGCGGAAUUCGUGGUGUAGCGGUGAAAUGCUUAGAUAUCACGAAGAACUCCGAUUGCGAAGGCAGUUCACUGGACUGCAACUGACACUGAGGCUCGAAAGUGUGGGUAUCAAACAGGAUUAGAUACCCUUGUGUC
This 459-nucleotide ribosomal RNA is filed under the name uncultured bacterium. RNAcentral's name for it is "partial 16S ribosomal RNA". It matches the Rfam family "Bacterial small subunit ribosomal RNA", at positions 338 to 795 of the family's 1533-position model. The record is from RNAcentral.